This 259-nucleotide ribosomal RNA is filed under the name uncultured bacterium. RNAcentral describes it as "partial 16S ribosomal RNA". It matches the Rfam family "Bacterial small subunit ribosomal RNA", at positions 524 to 777 of the family's 1533-position model. The record is from RNAcentral.
UACGAAGGGUGCAAGCGUUUACUCGGAAUUUACUGGGCGUAAAGCGUGCGUAGGUGGUUUUUGUUAAGUCUGAUGUGAAAGCCCUGGGCUCAACCUGGGAAUUUGCAUUUGGAUACUGGCAGGCUAGAGUGCGGUAGAGGAUGGCGGAAUCCCGGUGUAGCAGUGAAAUGCGUAGAGAUCGGGAGGAACAUCUGUGGCGAAGGCGGCCAUCUGGACCAGCACUGACACUGAGGCACGAAAGCGUGGGGAGCAAACAGGG